GUCGUUAGCUCAGUCGGUAGAGCAGUUGACUUUUAAUCAAUUGGUCGCUGGUUCGAAUCCAGCACGAC
RNAcentral lists this transfer RNA (68 nucleotides) under Aeromonas salmonicida. Its description in RNAcentral is "tRNA-Lys". It matches the Rfam family "tRNA". From Rfam's summary of the family: Transfer RNA (tRNA) molecules are approximately 80 nucleotides in length. Their secondary structure includes four short double-helical elements and three loops (D, anti-codon, and T loops). The record is from RNAcentral. Lineage: Bacteria; Pseudomonadati; Pseudomonadota; Gammaproteobacteria; Aeromonadales; Aeromonadaceae.